CUGCGUGCUUAACACAUGCAAGUCGAACGCUGAAGCCGACAGCUUGCUGUUGGUGGAUGAGUGGCGAACGGGUGAGUAACACGUGAGUAACCUGCCCCUGAUUUCGGGAUAAGCCUGGGAAACUGGGUCUAAUACCGGAUACGACCACCUGACGCAUGUUGGGUGGUGGAAAGUUUUUCGAUCGGGGAUGGGCUCGCGGCCUAUCAGCUUGUUGGUGGGGUAAUGGCCUACCAAGGCGACGACGGGUAGCCGGCCUGAGAGGGCGACCGGCCACACUGGGACUGAGACACGGCCCAGACUCCUACGGGAGGCAGCAGUGGGGAAUAUUGCACAAUGGGGGAAACCCUGAUGCAGCGACGCAGCGUGCGGGAUGACGGCCUUCGGGUUGUAAACCGCUUUCAGCAGGGAAGAAGCGAAAGUGACGGUACCUGCAGAAGAAGUACCGGCUAACUACGUGCCAGCAGCCGCGGUAAUACGUAGGGUACGAGCGUUGUCCGGAAUUAUUGGGCGUAAAGAGCUCGUAGGUGGUUGGUCACGUCUGCUGUGGAAACGCAACGCUUAACGUUGCGCGUGCAGUGGGUACGGGCUGACUAGAGUGCAGUAGGGGAGUCUGGAAUUCCUGGUGUAGCGGUGAAAUGCGCAGAUAUCAGGAGGAACACCGGUGGCGAAGGCGGGACUCUGGGCUGUAACUGACACUGAGGAGCGAAAGCAUGGGGAGCGAACAGGACUAGAUACCCUGGUAGUCCAUGCCGUAAACGUUGGGCACUAGGUGUGGGGGACAUUCCACGUUCUCCGCGCCGUAGCUAACGCAUUAAGUGCCCCGCCUGGGGAGUACGGUCGCAAGGCUAAAACUCAAAUGAAUUGACGG
This 868-nucleotide ribosomal RNA is filed under the name uncultured Brevibacterium sp. Its description in RNAcentral is "bacterial SSU rRNA". It matches the Rfam family "Bacterial small subunit ribosomal RNA", at positions 40 to 916 of the family's 1533-position model. Lineage: Bacteria; Bacillati; Actinomycetota; Actinomycetes; Micrococcales; Brevibacteriaceae. The record is from RNAcentral.